CAAAAACUCAACUAUCGUAGGUGGGGCAUAAAAAUUAUUCUAGCUAGCACUAAAACAUUACCUUGGAAUUUGAACAUUUAGUUGGUUAACAGGGAUGUAUCAUAUUCAAUUUUUGAUAUCUAGCCAUAAACAAACAUGCAUAUUAAUGGCAAAGAUAGGAAAAGAGAUGUUUAUAUGCAAAAGGCAAGAACUCUUGUUUCAUUUAUAGUUGUU
This 213-nucleotide long non-coding RNA is filed under the name Mytilus galloprovincialis (Mediterranean mussel). Lineage: Eukaryota; Metazoa; Mollusca; Bivalvia; Mytilida; Mytilidae. The record is from RNAcentral.